UACGUAGGGUGCGAGCGUUAAUCGGAAUUACUGGGCGUAAAGCGUGCGUAGGUGGUUUGUUAAGUCUGUUGUGAAAGCCCCGGGCUCAACCUGGGAAUGGCAAUGGAUACUGGCAGGCUAGAGUGCGGUAGAGGGUAGUGGAAUUCCUGGUGUAGCGGUGAAAUGCGCAGAUAUCAGGAGGAACACCGGUGGCGAAGGCGGCUCACUGGCUCAUUACUGACGCUCAGGCGCGAUAGCGUGGGGAUCAAACAGG
This 253-nucleotide ribosomal RNA is filed under the name uncultured bacterium. Its description in RNAcentral is "partial 16S ribosomal RNA". It matches the Rfam family "Bacterial small subunit ribosomal RNA", at positions 524 to 776 of the family's 1533-position model. The record is from RNAcentral.